Molecule: ribosomal RNA, 2376 nt
Filed under: human gut metagenome
Description: bacterial LSU rRNA
Rfam family: Bacterial large subunit ribosomal RNA
Source: RNAcentral
AGGGCGUAUGGCGGAUGCCUAGGCUCUCGGAGGCGAAGAAGGACGUGAUAAGCUGCGAAAAGCUGCGGCGAGGAGCAAAUAUCCUGUGACCCGCAGAUCUCCGAAUGGGGCAACCCGGCAGGACAACCUGUCAUCCCGGGAAACGGGAAGCAAACGUGGGGAACUGAAACAUCUCAUUACCCACAGGAAAAGAAAAUAACAAUGAUUCCGUCAGUAGUGGCGAGCGAAAGCGGAAGAGCCCAAACCGGUUCUGUUUCGGCAGAGCCGGGGUAGAAGGACUGCAUAGUACAAAGGAGCAGGUAGCCGAACGGUCUGGAAAGGCCGGUCAGAGACGGUGAUAACCCGGUAGGCGAAACCAGCGACGGCGUCAGCAGUAUCCUGAGUAGUGCGGGACACGAGAAAUCCUGUAUGAAUCGGCGGGGACCAUCCCGUAAGGCUAAAUACUCCCGAGAGACCGAUAGCGAACCAGUACUGUGAAGGAAAGGUGAAAAGAACCUCGAACAGAGGAGUGAAAAAGACCCUGAAACCAUACGCCUACAAGCGGUCGGAGCCCCUACGUGGGGUGACGGCGUGCCUUUUGCAUAAUGAACCUACGAGUUACUUUUGCCAGCCAGGUUAAUCGAUUCAGUCGAGGAGCCGAAGCGAAAGCGAGUCUUAAUAGGGCGUUAUAAGUUGGCAGGAGUAGACGCGAAACCAAGUGAUCUACCCAUGAGCAGGUUGAAGGUUAGGUAACACUAACUGGAGGACCGCACCGGUAAACGUUGAAAAGUUUUCGGAUGACUUGUGGGUAGGGGUGAAAGGCUAAUCAAACUUGGAGAUAGCUCGUACUCCCCGAAAUGCAUUUAGGUGCAGCCUUGACUUAUAUUUAAGAGGUAGAGCGACUGAUAAGAUGCGAGGGCUUCACCGCCUAUCAAGUCUUGAUAAACUCCGAAUGCUUAAAUAAGAAUCAGAGGAGUGAGGGCAUGGGUGCUAAGGUCCAUGUCCGAGAGGGAAAUAACCCAGACCACCAGCUAAGGUCCCGAAAUAACGGCUAAGUUGAAUUAACGAAGUAGAACUGCAGAGACAGCUAGGAUGUUGGCUUGGAAGCAGCCAUUCAUUUAAAGAGUGCGUAACAGCUCACUAGUCGAGGAGUUCUGCGUGGAUAAUAAUCGGGCAUAAGCCGUUUACCGAAGCUGUGGAAUCGGCAACGAUUGGUAGGGGAGCAUUCCAUGAGCCGCAGAAGGUUUUCCUUGAGGAAUGCUGGAGGUGAUGGAAAAGCAAAUGUAGGUAUAAGUAACGAUAAAGAGGGCGAGAACCCCUCUCGCCGAAAGACCAAGGGUUCCUGAUCAACGCUAAUCGGAUCAGGGUAAGUCGGGCCCUAAGGCGCAGCCGAACGGCGCAGCCGAUGGCAGAAACGGUUAAUAUUCCGUUACUAUGAUACGGAGUGACGAGGAGACGGAGAAGUGACACUCUCGCCUGCUGACGGAAUAGCAGGUUGAACGGUGUAGAUAAUGGCAUGGUAGGCAAAUCCGCCGUGACAGUCGAACCGGAAAGUACUGGGCGCCCCCGGGCAACCAGAUAGCAGAGGUAAUCAAGCUCCCGAGAAAAUCCCCUAAACAUAUGCGUAUCAUACCCGUACCCGAAACGGACACACGUGGUUGAGUAGAAAAUACUAAGGCGCUCGAGCGACUCACGGUUAAGGAACUAGGCAAAUUGACCCUGUAACUUCGGGACAAAGGGUCCCUACCCUUUUAGGCGGGAGGGCGCAGAGAAUAGGUCCAGGCAACUGUUUAACAAAAACACAGGGCUGUGCAAAAUUGUAAGAUGAAGUAUACAGCCUGACACCUGCCCGGUGCUGGAAGGUUAAGAGGAGAUGUCAUCGAUAAGAGAAGCGUUGAAUUGAAGCCCCAGUAAACGGCGGCCGUAACUAUAACGGUCCUAAGGUAGCGAAAUUCCUUGUCGGGUAAGUUCCGACCUGCACGAAUGGUGUAAUGAUCUGGACACUGUCUCAACCGUGAACUCGGUGAAAUUGUAGUAUCGGUGAAGAUGCCGAUUACCCGCAACGGGACGGAAAGACCCCGUGAACCUUUACUGCAACUUAACAUUGAAUUUGGGUAACUGAUGUGUAGGAUAGUCCGGAGACAGAGAAAUGGAUACGCCAGUAUUCAUGGAGUCACCCUUGAAAUACGGACCUUUGGUUAUUUGAGUUCUAACCCGUGGAAAAUGGGGACACUGUUUGGUGGGUAGUUUGACUGGGGUGGUCGCCUCCAAAAGCGUAACGGAGGCUUCUAAAGGUACCCUCAGGCCGAUUGGUAACCGGCCGAAGAGUGUAAUGGCACAAGGGUGCUUGACUGAGAGACCGACAAGUCGAUCAGGUAGGAAACUAGAGCAUAGUGA